UACGGGGGGGGCAAGCGUUGUUCGGGAUUACUGGGCGUAAAGGGCUCGUAGGUGGCCAACUAAGUCAGACGUGAAAUCCCUCAGCUUAACUGGGGAACUGCGUCUGAUACUGGAUGGCUUGAGUUUGGGAGAGGGAUGCGGAAUUCCAGGUGUAGCGGUGAAAUGCGUAGAUAUCUGGAGGAACACCGGUGGCGAAGGCGGGCUACUGGGCCGAUACUGACGCUGAUGCGCGAAAGCCAGGGGAGCGACCGGG
RNAcentral lists this ribosomal RNA (253 nucleotides) under uncultured bacterium. Its description in RNAcentral is "partial 16S ribosomal RNA". It matches the Rfam family "Bacterial small subunit ribosomal RNA", at positions 524 to 776 of the family's 1533-position model. The record is from RNAcentral.